Molecule: non-coding RNA, 1508 nt
Organism: Lolium perenne
Lineage: Eukaryota; Viridiplantae; Streptophyta; Magnoliopsida; Poales; Poaceae
Source: RefSeq, a predicted model, not a curated record
GCCAUGCAUGGCGCUUCAUUUUCACAUUCAAUUACGUCACGGCGCGUUCGCUUCCUCUCCCCCGCGGUAUCCGCAAUAAACGGAAACGAGUUCGCGCAGAUUUCUCGCCUUUUAACUCCGAGCUCCACCUUGCCUGUCAUCGUCCUCCAUUGCUCCUCCCCGACUUCUGUUGCGCACAUGCCAUGCAUUUGCGCUACUGUUCCGGCUGAUAGCUGAUCCCGUCCCCGAGCCCUGUACAUAUCGUGGUGCAUAUUUGCGAACCCCUCUCCAUUAGUUGUCUCGCGUUGAGAUCAGUGUAUCACCGUCCUGCCCCUACUCUCUCUUUCUAUCUCCACCAUCUUCUAAAUUGCAGGAGCUGGCGAUCUCGCAAACUCCAAUGCGCAUGAGUUUCCACGAUAUUGAUGUCUCUGUGCUUUUGUUUAAAGUCCUUGCAGGUUCCCACCCUUUUCUCAUCUUGUAUUUUUUGUUUUGUUAUAGAUCGAGAUACAUUAUGCACACGAAGCCUAGAUCCUUCUCCUCGGAAAAUAAUGAAGCAUAGAAACUUGCCAUUUCCUUGCGUUUUUUGCAGCAUUUCCCCCCUUUGUUGCAGAUUUACCAUUCCCUCGCAUGCAGAAUUGCAGAUUGUCUUGAUUUUCCUCACCAUGCUGCUGGAUAACAAUCAAUAAUUCAGAUUUUCUCAUCAUCGUUGGAUACCCGCAGAGAAAAUUUAAGUUGGAUGAUUGAAGAGAUACCAUAUUUGAUAUCAUAGGGCAAUUUGCUCAUCUGUUUUCUGUCAUGAGAAGGUAAUUUCUGAUCCCCCAAUUUGCUUCUUUACAUAUCAGUUAUUUUUAUUCUUUCCAAGACGGCAGUCUGUAUUUUCCAUAUUCUAAUGUAGAUUGACUAUUGCCAGUAUUAUUUGAUUGAUCUACUUACUUCAUUGUUGUUUUUAUUAUUUUCUUUGUUCCGGUGGGAUAACAGUUUCUGAUUUAUUAACGGAUCAGUAAAAUACAUAUAAUGACCAUUUUUCCUAUGUCUUUAAUAAUUUCCUACCAUUUAAGCAUCGGAUAACCAAUGGAUCUAAUCUUAUAUAUCUUGAAUUCUCAAUCGUACAUAGAUUUGUUCACUAUCCCUGACCAUGCAUGAAAACAAAAAGAUGAAGAACAUGUUUGGUCAAAUUAUAACUUGCAGGUUUUGCGUUGUUUGGAUUCUUUUUUCGAAUGAUUAUUUUACUAUUCCACGUGAGUUAUUAGAUAUAGAAGACACCACUCCAGUCAGUUUUAAAUAUUUUAUCACUAAUAAUGCAGGUCCAGGAGGCUCGAGAGUCCACCUAUACAUGAAGUUCAAGUUCAGGAUAAAGUGACGUCAAGUAUUUCCCUCAAAAAAGGGGUUAAGGGACGUGUAAUCAUUUUCUCCUGAUAUUUAUAUGUUCAAAAAACAUUGGUGCCUGCCACCUAUCAAUGUGUGACGUAAUAGAAGUUAUAAAUUAUGUGAAAAAAUUAUUUUAUUAAUUCAUCUUUAAUUUUCCUUUU